GGCUAAUCAUCUCGGUAUAGGUGCAGAUUAGAUGACCUACGCCGACCACCGUCCACUUGUGAUGGUGUCCGUUCCCCUGGGGUUCACCCUCGCCACGCCUACUUCCUCGAGCAGGCACGGGGUCAUCAGCGCCCCUAAGGGCAUCUUCUGAUCUACAAGUAAGUGCUAUUACAUCCUUAAUUAAUUAAGUUUUUAGAUGUUCAUGUCAUUAGGCUAUCAGAUCCUAAGAAUCAGUAAUGUUAAUUUUCUACAUUUGGCAUCAAGAGCCAGGUUAGCCUAAUCAUGAACCCUAAGAUCAAUUUUAAGAUGCAAUUAGCCUUGUCGACUAGUACAUUAUUGUCGCAUUUAUUGUGAAUAUCAAUGUUGUUUAUGUAAUAUCCCUAUUCAGCUAUAAGUUUUCGACUAAUUUCAGUACCCUAUAAGCAAUAUGAAUAAGAUAAUUAUCCAUACACACAAAUUUGACUCUCAUUAGAAAAGUCUUCACAAAUUUAGAACGAUGACAAGAAUCCAACGAUUUUCUCAUCAGUUGAAUGACUAAUGGGAGCAAUCUGAUCAAAGAAGUUUAUCUUCUGUGAUCAUGCUAGUAAAGAUGUGGGGGAGCAAUCCCUAAGACAAAUUGUUUAAGCACAUAUAGCAUUGAUUAGGACUUUUGAGUUCACUCUACUAAGUGCAAAGGUGAACAAUGAUCAAGUGCAAAGUAACGAAAUGUGUGUUCAAAAGGAGUUGGCUAAGUCUAACAUAAAUGGGUGUUGCCGACAUUAUAAGAUAAAGUGGAAUAUAAGCAUCACGAGAGAUCGUUGAAUUGUGGCAUACCACAUUUCGAAAGGGAAAGUGGAAAGUCUCUUUCCAAAGGCUUGUCUCAAUUUAUGCCGGCUUUAUGGAUUGCGACAACCUAUAAUUUUAGGAUAAUUGAGAUCUCAAAUCCUUGAUUUUCUUAUUAUUAAGUGCACAUAAUGAAAUUGAAAACAAUAUGCACAUAAGGACCAUAAGUAAGAAGGUCAUUUCCCAUUAUGAAUAAGUAACUAUCCAAUAGAGGUAGAUUGACACAUUGUAGGCAGUGAAGUUGCAGUGGUGCUUUAUUAACUGUUGUGACACAUUACCUCGUAUGUUUUUUCUACUAUAAGUGGAAAUGAUGAAGAUAAGCCUUAUGAUCAGGGGGAGAGUGUUGGAAUUGAUCUUGGCUUAGUCAAAGAGGACCGAGUCCUAAGGGGUUUACAGACACCCACGUUGUCCUGGUCAAAGGGGCAACAAACCCAACUAAUAGCCUGGUCCCUAGGACGGUCUAUACUAUAAGAAGGGAACCCUUGGUUCCAACGAAAUUAGGCUAAUCAUCUCGGUAUGGGUACAAACUAGAUGACCUACGCCGACCACCAUCCACCUAUGAUGGUGUCCGUUCCCCUGGAGUUCACCCUCGCCACGCCUGCUUCCUCAAGCAGGCACAGGGUCAUCAGCGCCCCUAAGGGCAUCUUCUAAUCUACAAGUCAGUGCUAUUAAGUCCUUAAUUAAUUGAGUUCUUAGGUGUUCAUGUCAUUAGGCUAUCAGAUCUUAAGAUCAGUAAUGUUAAUUUUCUACAUUGUUGGCAUGCAAAGGCUUUGAAGGUCGUCGCGGCAUUAUCACCAAGAAUGAACGGACAAGCAAUAAUAUAGGUUCUCAUACUUGUAUGUACACAGAUAGUCCAUGUUUAUUGAUAUAUAGCCCGGAUGUUAAAAUUGUAUUGCUGAGAAGAUGCUAUUUUCCUCCCCUCAUAGACUACCAUUCCAAAGUAAUCUAGCAAAUAAAUAGUGGGAAGUUCCUGCUUAUAAUGUUUGUCCUAUUACCAAAACCUUCAGACUAAGGGGGUGUUUGGGAGACAGGAGCUAAACUUUAGCCCUGUCACAUCGGAUGUUCGGAUGCUAAUUAGGAGGACUAAAUAUGAGCUAAUUACAAAACUAAUAGCAGAACCCCUAGGCUAAAUCACGAGACAAAUCUAUUAAGCCUAAUUAAUCCAUCAUUAGCGAAUGGCUAUUGUAGCACCACAUUGUCAAAUCAUGAACUAAUUAGACUUAAUAGAUUCGUCUCGCGAUUUAGCCUAGGGGUUGUGCAAUUAGUUUUGUAAUUAGCCUAUGUUUACUACUCCUAAUUAGUGUCCAAACAUCCGAUGUGACACGGGCUAAAGUUUAGCCCCGUCUCCCAAACACCCCCUAAUGUUUCCUUCCCGCCAAUGAGGAAACCAACAAUGUAUAAUGAUACAGAUUGGUUCAGUUCUUGUUUUUAACAAAUUUUCAUGCAUAUCUUUACUCUUUGUAUACAUGUAUUUUCAGAACAAAAGGGUUGAGAAAAUAAUUAUCCUCAAGGAAAUGGGAUCUCCUGAUAUUGAAUUGGAUCAAAGUACCUAGUUCCUUAUGUCUCAUCGACCACGUUCUUGUAAAGUUAGUUACUGCAGCUGGCAGCACUUUGUAGGACCUAGUUUGCUCUGUGUAUAAGCACUUCUUAGGAUCUGACCUGGGUUGUGUGUGGUACUGUUUAAGACUUGUGUUAUUGUACUGU
Molecule: long non-coding RNA, 2526 nt
Filed under: Setaria viridis
Lineage: Eukaryota; Viridiplantae; Streptophyta; Magnoliopsida; Poales; Poaceae
Description: long non-coding RNA (SVIR_LNC005119)
Source: RNAcentral